This 1865-nucleotide long non-coding RNA is filed under the name Aedes aegypti (yellow fever mosquito). RNAcentral describes it as "lncRNA AAEL028065". The record is from RNAcentral. Lineage: Eukaryota; Metazoa; Arthropoda; Insecta; Diptera; Culicidae.
AAAAUUUUAAUCGCAUGUUCUUUAUACAAUAACAGCAUCCAUACAGCUACCAACAUGAAACCACGUGAAAUUUUAUAUGCAGCCAAAAAUGGACAGGAGAGACCGAUAGAAAUGGAACGCCUUGUUGAACUUCGUGACAAGUUGAAGCGAGAGGAUCCGCCAAAACUAAAACAAAACGAAUUGGCAUACAACCGCAUCCAAGGAGUGAAGUCAAAAAUUAAGGACCGCUACCAACAAGUGCGAGUACGAUCUAACCGGAAACACACGUACAAAGAUAUCCUAAGUCGAAAAUUGCAUAAAGAAAAACUGCGACGAAUCCGAAAGUAACACCACAGAAUCUCUAAUGUGUUUUUUCAUUUGUUUUCUCUUUUUAGAUGACGUUUAUUUGGAAUAUCCUGAUAACAACCACAUUCCUUACUCAGCUAUCCCAACCACAAUCCAUCCACGUCAUUAAUCUCAAACAAAACCCCGGUCUUUUAACCAUAGAAACUGGCAACAGUUUUAUAAAAAUAGGCAAUCACAGAUUGUUUCAUAUCCUAGAACUGGAUAAUUACGAACCUAUUUUUAGAAAAUUGCUUGCUAAUAUCCAAGGAAUACGGACAUUCUCAAAUUUUACUGAUAUGUUUGAAAUCUUAGAAUCGAAAUAUGGAACCGUUCACAGUUUAUUCAAUAAUCUUCGGCCAAAGCAAAGAAAUAAAAGAGGAUUAUUUAAUUUUCUCGGAACUGGAAUAAAAAGAAUUACAGGAAAUAUGGACCAUAACGACUAUGAACAAAUUUCGAAAAAUAUUUUUGAACUGCAGAUCAAGAACAAAAGACUUAUUAACGAAAACAACGAACAGCUUAAAAUUAAUCUACAACUCCAAAAUAGAAUCAAUUCCAUUAUCAACCGUUUAAAUCAACAACAGAGUGAAAUAACUAAAAACAUUAUAUCAGCGAGAUUUGAAAACGAAACCAACAAAAACUUUAAAUUAUUUAGAGAAAUUUUGAAAAUCAAUUACAACUUAGACAACCUUAAAUCACAUUAAGAAGACAUUUUUGAAUCAAUUCAGUUAGCAAGAACUAACAUUAUUCCCAAACAAAUACUUUCAAUUGAAGAGUUAGGAUUUGUUUCAGAUAUAUUAGAAGAACAAAACAUUAGGACGAACAGUUUAGAUCAAAUUUAUGAAUAUUUAGAAUUGUCAGCAUUUUAUAACCAUUCAAAACUAAUAUUUGUUGUGUCAAUUCCAAAAAUAGAAAAAGCUAUGUACACACAUUUUUUCCUAGAACCUCUUCCAGUAGUAGAUAAAAUUUUAAAACUUCCUGCUAAUGCUGCUUUGCAAAGCGACAACAGAACAUAUUUCAUCAAGAAGGAUUGCCUGCGAAUCGAAAGGACAAGGCUGUGCAAUCUAAGCAGCCUAGAGGACAUAACCGGCGACCUAUGCUACUCAAACCUACUAAGAGGACUAUCAGGAAACUGUACUUUCGUAAAAUGCUAUCAAUCAACGGAGAUCAAAGCGAUCAUGGACAAUUACCUUGUCGCUUAAAACAUCAAUAACACAGAAAUCGAAUCGAAUUGUGGUCUUUCAAAACGAAACUUAUCUGGAACGUAUUUGAUAGAGUUCCACAAUUGCUCUGUCAUAAUAAAUGGCACCAAGUUCUCAAAUGUCGAAGCAAACAAAUCAGAACCGACAUUUGUUAUGCCAUUAGAUGGUUUACAUAUCAAUGAACAGACCCUGGAAAUCCAGAAUAAUAUAGAAGAAAUUCACAUCCAUAAUAGACACCGGAUUGAAGCAUUAACUAAGGAACACAAAAUUCAGACAUACACAUCUCUAAGUAUGUCGACCGUAUGUUUUCUUCUAAGUAUCGUUGCAGGUCUUUCAUGGAUU